RNAcentral lists this transfer RNA (41 nucleotides) under Hemiselmis tepida. RNAcentral's name for it is "partial Selenocysteine transfer RNA". The record is from RNAcentral. Lineage: Eukaryota; Cryptophyceae; Cryptomonadales; Hemiselmidaceae.
GGAGCAGGGAGGUCCUCAAGCGGGGGUUCGAUUCCCUCAAG